This 525-nucleotide ribosomal RNA is filed under the name uncultured bacterium. Its description in RNAcentral is "bacterial SSU rRNA". It matches the Rfam family "Bacterial small subunit ribosomal RNA", at positions 777 to 1301 of the family's 1533-position model. The record is from RNAcentral.
AAUAGAUACCCGGGUAGUCCACGCCGUAAACGGUGAGUGCUAAGUGUUAGAGGGUUUCCGCCCUUUAGUGCUGCAGCAAACGCAUUAAGCACUCCGCCUGGGGAGUACGGUCGCAAGACUGAAACUCAAAGGAAUUGACGGGGGCCCGCACAAGCGGUGGAGCAUGUGGUUUAAUUCGAAGCAACGCGAAGAACCUUACCAGGUCUUGACAUCCUCUGACAACCCUAGAGAUAGGGCUUCCCCGUUCGGGGGCAGAGUGACAGGUGGUGCAUGGUUGUCGUCAGCUCGUGUCGUGAGAUGUUGGGUUAAGUCCCGCAACGAGCGCAACCCUUGAUCUUAGUUGCCAGCAUUCAGUUGGGCACUCUAAGGUGACUGCCGGUGACAAACCGGAGGAAGGUGGGGAUGACGUCAAAUCAUCAUGCCCCUUAUGACCUGGGCUACACACGUGCUACAAUGGGCAGAACAAAGGGCAGCGAAGCCGCGAGGCUAAGCCAAUCCCACAAAUCUGUUCUCAGUUCGGAUCGC